UGUCCUUCCCCGAGUUCAAUCUUUGGUUCAUGUUGUUGCUUCUAGAUAAGAUGAUAGUUCGAUCUUCGGUUCAUACUGCUGCUUCUGGAUAAGAUGAUAUUCAUUCAUAGUUUUCCUCUUGAAUUGUCUAUGUGCCCAGGUCUUUUUUUCUUUCUCAAACAAACAUGAUAUGCGCAUUGAUCAGGUAAAAUUCCAUAUAAGGUGGGUUUCAAUUGAUUUUAUCUAAUUUCUAUGAAUUUAGCAUGACCUUUUGAGCUAUCAGUCUUGCUGUACAGGAAGCAGCAAGCAUAUAAAGGAUAUUUGUUAUUGUUUUGUUCUCCGUGAAAUUUCCAUGAAUUAUUUUGUUUACAGUGGAAUUGUUUGGUAGUUCCAUUAAUUUCCAAGUGUCCCAACCAUAGACAGGAAGCAGCAGGCAGAGCUCCAUUUGUUUUGAGAUGAAGUUGUAUUUAAUCUUUGGUCUUGUGUUUUCUUUUGUAUACAUGCUUGUGGAAAUGUUCAAAUAUAGCUGGCCAAGAUAUACAGGAUGAUCAAUUACAUCUUACCUGACCUACUGUCAUGGCACGGUAAACUGAAGCCACAGUAAACUGAGUCCACAAAGUUCAGUUAUUAGUGUUUAAGCAUGAAAGGACAAAUUGGACAGAGCGGCCAGGUAACCAAGUUCCUAGCUGCCGCAAUUGAAUCGUCGAAAUAUUUUGGGUGAUGGAAACAAAUAUGGAGGCCAUGUGUGGUGAAUGCAUCUCAUAGAUUGGAUGGAUAAUUGGGGUGGUGGAAACAUAUAUUUAGGUCAUGUGUGGUGAAUGCAUUCGUAGAAUCAUUACAUGGAAGCCUUAUGUUAUUUACAACUUCACGGGUGUUGCUAUGUUCUUGGUCAGCUAUAGAGUUCAUGCUUCCAAUAAAUUUUUUACUGUACUGUCCACGCGAUGCAGAUGCAACAACCUAUUGUUUAUUCGUGUUUAGUCUCUAACACAUGGAAUUAUGUAUUUCGUGUCUGAAUUCAUUGUGCAUAUUUAUUUCAAUCACGAUAUAUGGUUGACAAUUUAAG
Brachypodium distachyon (stiff brome) is the source of this 1042-nucleotide long non-coding RNA. RefSeq lists it as uncharacterized. NCBI's taxonomy places the organism in Eukaryota, Viridiplantae, Streptophyta, Magnoliopsida, Poales, Poaceae. The transcript is spliced from 3 exons. The record is from RefSeq and is a predicted model, not a curated record.